Molecule: long non-coding RNA, 1962 nt
Filed under: Heterocephalus glaber (naked mole-rat)
Lineage: Eukaryota; Metazoa; Chordata; Mammalia; Rodentia; Bathyergidae
Description: lncRNA (ENSHGLG00100047497.1)
Source: RNAcentral
UUUAUAGAACAAUCUACAAACAUCUGCUGACCAUCAGUAUGUGUCAGCUGACCACUAACCUUUGUUCCUCUUCUGUAAAUUUCACCUGUUAACUUCCCCUGCAACCCCCUAUAAAAGAGCCUCGGACUCUGGGCUAGUCGCCUCUCUAAGCUACUUUGCUUUGGGAGUGCCGUCUGGCCAGACUAAGGUCUGUUUUACUUUCCAACUUGUCCGGUGUGUUCCUUCCCGGGUGUUCUUCGCUGUAGUCAGCUCCACGGAGUGUUUGGUAAGGCCCUCGGUCUUACAUUUUGGAGGCCCCAGUGAGAUCCCCGGGUAAGGAACCCUGGUUCAGCCAAGACUCUGUGGCGGGAUCCAGCAGGAGACUCUCAGGCACAGACCUCAGAAAACCUCCAGAGGUAAGUUUUUGGCCGGUUGCAACCGUUUGUUGUCAGGAGUGAGGUGGCUGACGGGCCGGUAAGCCUCCCCUGACUCCAAGGUUCCCGAUGAGGAACAAGGGAAGAUUUAGUUUUGCUUUUGUUGUGGCACCUGUUCGUCUUGUCAUUCGUACGUUAGUGUCCUGUCCGUUGUGUGUUUAAUUUUGUAUUUCUUUCCAAACCAUCAGGGCAGAGAUGGGAGGAUCCUGCUCCAAAAAUACCCCAUUGGAUUGUUUUCUCACUAAUUUUAAAUUGGCUUUUUCCCCCCGAACAGGAGGAUGAAUAUGGGGUUAAAUUUUCUUGUGGAAAACUUCGCUCCCUGUGUCAAUUGGAAUGGCCGGCCUUUGGAGUUGGAUGGCCAGCUGAGGGCUCUUUUGACCCAAGCCUCUGCUGGGCAGUAUGGAAAAGGGUCACCGGGCACCCUAGCCAUCCUGAUCAGUUUCCAUAUAUAAAUAUCUGGGUUCAGGCUUGUCAAGAGCCUCCAUCUUGGUUGCAGCAUUGUUUCUUGUGAACAAACUCUCGCAUUUUGGUUAUGGCCCCAAGGGAACCCCAAGAGGUCAAAGCCCAGGCUCCCAAGCCAGUGCUCUCACAAGAUCCUGAUCCCUUAGACCCCUUUAUAAGACCUCCACCCUGUGUGGAGCCAUCCUCCUCCUCUGAUAAAACCGGCCCCAGAUCUCAAACCCUUUCUACCCUCCUCUUCCUGAAGAAGAAAAAUCUCCAGAUUCUAUAACCUCCCCCUCCCACAUGUGAACAGGGGCCUCUUAUGGUCCCAGAGGGGCUCCCACUGAAGGGACUAGUUCAGUUCCUCUUCUGCUUCUUCAGGAAAUAGAGCAGGGUCAUUAUGUCUAUAUCCCUUUCUCUACCAGUGAUUUGUAUAAUUGGAAACAUCAAAAUCCCCCUUUUUCAGAAAAACCUCAAGCUUUGAUCUCCCUCCUAGAAUCUGUUUUUCAUACCCAUGACCCAACCUGGGAUGAUUGUCAACAACUCCUCCAAGCCCUUUUUACCUCUGAGGAAAGAGAAAGGAUCUGAGGGCAAGCCAAAAAGUCGGUGUUAGGAGGAACGGAGGGCCCACUCGAUGAACAACAGCAGGCCCAUAUUAAGGUGCAACUUCCGUCCACCUGUCCCCCAUGGCAAGCUAAUUCCUCGGGCAGGAGAGAAGCUCUCCAAAACUACCGUCAGCAUCUCCUAGCUGGCUUGAGGGGAGCCGCUCGAAAGCCUACCAAUUUGAGCAAGCCUGCCUCUAGCACCAGUGAGCCAGCCCCUCUUUGCCUUCAAAUGGACUGACCCAGACACCGGGACUACCAGACAGCUGACAUGGCCCUGGCUGCCGCAGGGAUUCAAAACUCCCCCACUCUGUUCGGGAAGCUCUCAGCAAAGAUUUACAAGAGGUAAGAAAAGUGUUUCCCCAGGCGACUAUUCUUCAGUAUGUGGAUGACCUCCUGGUGGCGACUUCAACCGAUAAAGAAUGCAUUGCAGCCACUGAGGGCCUCCUGAAAGCCCUCCAGGACCUGGGAUAUCGGGUGUCUUGGAAGAAAGCUCAGCUCUGCUG